Molecule: ribosomal RNA, 424 nt
Filed under: uncultured bacterium
Lineage: Bacteria
Description: bacterial SSU rRNA
Rfam family: Bacterial small subunit ribosomal RNA
Source: RNAcentral
GAGAAUUUUUCUCAAUGGGGGAAACCCUGAAGGAGCGACGCCGCGUGGAGGAUGAAGGUCUUCGGAUUGUAAACUCCUGUCAUUUGGGAACAAGUGUAUGCGCAUAACUACCGCGUACUUGAUAGUACCAGAAGAGGAAGAGACGGCUAACUCUGUGCCAGCAGCCGCGGUAAUACAGAGGUCUCAAGCGUUGUUCGGAUUCAUUGGGCGUAAAGGGAGCGUAGGCGGUCGGGUAAGUCGGAUGUGAAAUCCUGGGGCUCAACCUCAGAACUGCAUUCGAUACUGCUCGGCUAGAGGACUGGAGAGGUGAGUGGAAUUCACGGUGUAGCAGUGAAAUGCGUAGAUAUCGUGAGGAAGACCAGCGGCGAAGGCGGCUCACUGGACAGUUUCUGACGCUGAUGCUCGAAGGCCAGGGGAGCAAACG